UACGAAGGAUCCAAGCGUUAUCCGGAUUUAUUGGGUUUAAAGGGUGCGUAGGCGGGCUAUUAAGUCAGUGGUGAAAGCCCCAAGCUUAACUUGGGAAUUGCCAUUAAUACUGAUUGUCUUGAGUACACUUGAAGUGGGCGGAAUGUGUCAUGUAGCGGUGAAAUGCUUAGAUAUGACACAGAACACCGAUUGCGAAGGCAGCUCACUAAGGAGUUACUGACACUGAGGCACGAAAGCGUGGGGAUCAAACAGG
RNAcentral lists this ribosomal RNA (253 nucleotides) under uncultured bacterium. RNAcentral describes it as "partial 16S ribosomal RNA". It matches the Rfam family "Bacterial small subunit ribosomal RNA", at positions 524 to 776 of the family's 1533-position model. The record is from RNAcentral.